AGCUUUGCGCAGUGACAGUAUCGUAGCCAAUGAGGUUUAUCCGAGGCGCAAUUAUUGCUAAUUGAAAAUAUACUUGUGAAUAAUUUCAAAUUUUAACUAUUAUGUGGAUAUUUGCUUAUCCCUCAAUUGCUUGGAUUAGUAUCAAAUUAAAGUUUGUUGAAGUUUGAAGGACCUAAAUUAGCUGGUAAGGGU
This 192-nucleotide small nuclear RNA is filed under the name Suricata suricatta (meerkat). Its description in RNAcentral is "U4 spliceosomal RNA (ENSSSUG00005012565.1)". The stretch from base 1 to 111 matches the Rfam family "U4 spliceosomal RNA". From Rfam's summary of the family: U4 small nuclear RNA (U4 snRNA) is a component of the major U2-dependent spliceosome. The structure of U4 snRNA from yeast and human has been reported. Lineage: Eukaryota; Metazoa; Chordata; Mammalia; Carnivora; Herpestidae. The record is from RNAcentral.